Molecule: ribosomal RNA, 253 nt
Filed under: uncultured bacterium
Lineage: Bacteria
Description: partial 16S ribosomal RNA
Rfam family: Bacterial small subunit ribosomal RNA
Source: RNAcentral
UACGUAGGGUGCGAGCGUUGUCCGGAAUUAUUGGGCGUAAAGAGCUCGUAGGCGGUCUGUCGCGUCUGCUGUGAAAACCUAGGGCUUAACUCUGGGCGUGCAGUGGGUACGGGCAGGCUAGAGUGCGGUAGGGGAGACUGGAAUUCCUGGUGUAGCGGUGAAAUGCGCAGAUAUCAGGAGGAACACCGGUGGCGAAGGCGGGUCUCUGGGCCGUAACUGACGCUGAGGAGCGAAAGCAUGGGGAGCGAACAGG